CGGGACGGGUGAGUAAUGUCUGGGAAACUGCCUGAUGGAGGGGGAUAACUACUGGAAACGGUAGCUAAUACCGCAUAGCGUCGCAAGACCAAAGAGGGGGACCUUAGGGCCUCUUGCCAUCGGAUGUGCCCAGAUGGGAUUAGCUAGUAGGUGGGGUAACGGCUCACCUAGGCGACGAUCCCUAGCUGGUCUGAGAGGAUGACCAGCCACACUGGAACUGAGACACGGUCCAG
Molecule: ribosomal RNA, 233 nt
Filed under: uncultured bacterium
Lineage: Bacteria
Description: partial 16S ribosomal RNA
Rfam family: Bacterial small subunit ribosomal RNA
Source: RNAcentral